UAGGGAAUCUUCCGCAAUGGACGCAAGUCUGACGGAGCAACGCCGCGUGAGUGAAGAAGGAUUUCGGUUCGUAAAACUCUGUUGUUAGAGAAGAACAGCGCAUAGAGUAACUGUUAUGCGUGUGACGGUAUCUAACCAGAAAGCCACGGCUAACUACGUGCCAGCAGCCGCGGUAAUACGUAGGUGGCAAGCGUUGUCCGGAUUUAUUGGCGUAAAGCGAGCGCAGGCGGUCAAUUAAGUCUGAUGUGAAAGCCCCCGGCUCAACCGGGGAGGGUCAUUGGAAACUGGUUGACUUGAGUGCAGAAGAGGAGAGUGGAAUUCCAUGUGUAACGGUGAAAUGCGUAGAUAUAUGGAGGAACACCAGUGGCGAAGGCGACUCUCUGGUCUGUAACUGACGCUGAGGUUCGAAAGCGUGGGUAGCAAACAGG
This 428-nucleotide ribosomal RNA is filed under the name Bacteroidota bacterium. RNAcentral describes it as "Bacteroidetes bacterium partial 16S ribosomal RNA". It matches the Rfam family "Bacterial small subunit ribosomal RNA", at positions 355 to 776 of the family's 1533-position model. The record is from RNAcentral. Lineage: Bacteria; Pseudomonadati; Bacteroidota.